UACGUAGGGGGCAAGCGUUGUCCGGAAUCAUUGGGCGUAAAGCGCGUGUAGGCGGCUCGAUAAGUCUGCUGUGAAAGUCCAGGGCUCAACCCUGGAAUGCCGGUGGAAACUGUCGAGCUAGAGUCCGGAAGAGGCGAGUGGAAUUCCUGGUGUAGCGGUGAAAUGCGCAGAUAUCAGGAGGAACACCAAUGGCGAAGGCAGCUCGCUGGGACGGUACUGACGCUGAGACGCGAAAGCCUGGGGAGCGAACAGG
This 253-nucleotide ribosomal RNA is filed under the name uncultured bacterium. RNAcentral describes it as "partial 16S ribosomal RNA". It matches the Rfam family "Bacterial small subunit ribosomal RNA", at positions 524 to 776 of the family's 1533-position model. The record is from RNAcentral.